RNAcentral lists this long non-coding RNA (821 nucleotides) under Homo sapiens (human). RNAcentral describes it as "HSALNT0259626". The record is from RNAcentral. Lineage: Eukaryota; Metazoa; Chordata; Mammalia; Primates; Hominidae.
GUUGGCCAGGCUGGUCUCGAACUCCUGACCUCAGGUGAUCCACCUGCUUCGGCAUUCCAAAGUGCUGGGAUUACAGGCGUGAGCCACCCCACCCAGCCAAAACUGUACACUUUAAAAGGAAGAAUUUUACUGUGUAUAAAUGACAUCUCAAUGAAGUUGAUAUUAAAAACACCAAGGCUAGGUGAGGUGGCUCACGCUUCUGUUCCUAGCACUUUGGGAGGCUGAGGCAGCAGGAUUGCUUGAGUCCAGGAGUUCCUACUGUGUCUAGCCACUGUGCCAACCCUUCCUUGAGUUCCCAAUUGGGAAACUUCCCAAUGAGGAAUUUGAUGCCUACAGAGGUUGAGUGACCCUGUCCUUAAAAAAAAAUUUUUUUUUUUAAUUAGCCAGGAACGGUGGUGCGUGCCUGUAGUCCCAGGUACUCUGGAGGCUGAGUCAGGAGGAUCGCUUGAGCCUUGGAGGUCGAGGCUUCAGUGAGCUGGGAUCAUGCCCCUAUGCUCCAGCCUGGGGACAGGUUCCCACGUGCACACUGUAAGGCACGGUGAAAAUCGGGACAUUAACACGGCUGAAUCGCUACCAUCUAAUCCGAAGGCCCAACCACAUUCACCACUUGUGCCAAUAAUAUGUUCAUUUCACUGUAUGUUUUGAAAUGUGUACCACAUGUAUAUGUUAUCUUUACGAAAAAAAAAAUAGUAUGUUGAAACCACUCGUCACAGCCAAAUGAAAUAAGAGCUAACUCAUUCAAGCAGGAGCCCCGGAGGACUAAAAGAAUCCGGCCUCUCCCAGGCCUCCUCACCUGAGCAGGGCUCCCUCCUGACUACCGC